This 430-nucleotide ribosomal RNA is filed under the name uncultured cyanobacterium. RNAcentral describes it as "bacterial SSU rRNA". It matches the Rfam family "Bacterial small subunit ribosomal RNA", at positions 357 to 795 of the family's 1533-position model. The record is from RNAcentral. Lineage: Bacteria; Bacillati; Cyanobacteriota.
GGGAAUUUUUCGCAAUGGGCGCAAGCCUGACGGAGCAAUACCGCGUGGGAAUUUUCCGCAUGCGAUUAGAUACCCCAGUAGCUCAUGGGGAAUUUUCAGCACUGAGAGUACAUACCCGCAAUCAGCCACGGCUAACUCCGUGCCAGCAGCCGCGGUAAUACGGAGGAUGCAAGCGUUAUCCGGAAUUAUUGGGCGUAAAGCGUCCGCAGGUGGUUAAUCAAGUCUGCUGUUAAAGCGUGCGGCUUAACCGCAUAUCGGCAGUGGAAACUGGUUGACUAGAGUUCGGUAGGGGUCACGGGAAUUCCCAGUGUAGCGGUGAAAUGCGUAGAUAUUGGGAAGAACACCAGCGGCGAAAGCGCGUGACUGGGCCUGAACUGACACUGAGGGACGAAAGCUAGGGGAGCGAAAGGGAUUAGAUACCCCUGUAGUC